GCAACACCCCACUCUCAGACACCCUCAAACACCUCUCACGCUCAAUACAGGCAUGGAGGUGGGAUUAGAGGCGGGAAUUCAACGUUGGAAUAAGGGAUUUGAUGAGGAGGUGAGGAUGACUAGUAGUUGAGAGCGUGAGGAUCCGAGAAACAUCGAACCCCACAGCGGUCCACAGAGGCAGAAGAGGGGUUGAAGGAUGGCUCGAAAACCACUAAGUUGAACAAGGCGCAAAAGUGUCAGCUCUGAGCCCCGCCAUGGGAAUUCAAUGUUGUGUUUUUCGCUGAAAAUUUGACCCAUUCCACUGGACGUCCCGCCAUCCGGCAACUCCGAAGUACCGAAAUUUCCCACAGCUCAUAACCUUUAUUUUUCGUCCCUGGAAAGACCAAGGGCCUCACGGUCCCAGAAUGCUCCGAGAUGCCUGCGGGUUCGCUUCCUCCAGUAACUCUAUAGAGCCUUGGCUCGAGCUGAAUAUAUAAGGGUUGAAACCGUUAUACGUUGAACUUCUUGUUCAACACCAGAUCGAUCUCUUUUGGGAUGCAAUUGGUAACCUACUUUGGUCAGCCAGAUUCGGGGGAGCAAGGCCUUUGGACCACCCCAACGAUCAAUGAAUGAAUCAUGGACGGACAUUGGCUGGUAGGUGACUUGUGUGUCCUAGGAAUUCGAGGCCACGGAUUUGCCAGAUUCAGCAAAAGAUGACCGGCACUUGUUCGAGGGAAUCUGGGUCUCAUGGGAAAAUUCCGUGGAUGGAAAUACUAUUAUUUCUUGGUUGCUAGCAAAUAUUCAAUGAGGCUUCCCAUAGUUGGCUUGGUACAUUCCUUGCGAACUUGUCAACCCCCAUCAAUGUAAAGAACGAGAAAGUAGCCAUACAAGAGGCCAAUGAAAUAUUUCCGACCUCAUGGAAAGAAGUAAGGUGCUAAUAACGAGAAGUGGACUUUGAAUUAACAGUUUGUUUG
This 953-nucleotide small RNA is filed under the name Histoplasma capsulatum. Its description in RNAcentral is "hypothetical RNA". The record is from RNAcentral. RNAcentral also lists the same sequence under 1 other name. Lineage: Eukaryota; Fungi; Ascomycota; Eurotiomycetes; Onygenales; Ajellomycetaceae.